AGGACGAACGCUGGCGGCGUGCUUAACACAUGCAAGUGGAGCGACGAACCAGGGCUUGCCCUGGGGCAGAGCCGCGAACGGGUGAGUAACACGUGGGUUACCUGCCUCGAUGACCGGGACAACCCGAGGAAACUCGGGCUAAUACCGGAUGUGCCCGCAAGGGGAAAGGAAGCUUCGGCCUCCGCAUCGAGAUGGGCCCGCGGCCCAUUAGCUUGUUGGUGAGGUAACGGCUCACCAAGGCUUCGAUGGGUAGCUGGUCUGAGAGGACGAUCAGCCACACUGGGACUGAGACACGGCCCAGACUCCUACGGGAGGCAGCAGUGGGGAAUCUUGCGCAAUGCGCGAAAGCGUGACGCAGCAACGCCGCGUGGGGGAAGAAGGCUUUCGGGUGUAAACCCCUUUCAGUUGGGACGAAGCUUCUCCGGUGAAUAGCCGGACGGAGUGACGGUACCUUCACAAGAAGCACCGGCUAACUACGUGCCAGCAGCCGCGGU
RNAcentral lists this ribosomal RNA (494 nucleotides) under uncultured bacterium. RNAcentral describes it as "SSU rRNA". It matches the Rfam family "Bacterial small subunit ribosomal RNA", at positions 26 to 521 of the family's 1533-position model. The record is from RNAcentral.